RNAcentral lists this unclassified non-coding RNA (4337 nucleotides) under Leishmania donovani. RNAcentral describes it as "gene:LdHU3.28.3170(CDS-product:hypothetical_prote in_conserved)". Lineage: Eukaryota; Euglenozoa; Kinetoplastea; Trypanosomatida; Trypanosomatidae. The record is from RNAcentral.
GCAACACGGCUCUCUUCUUCCUUCGGUCUGCUCUUGCUACAGAUGAUUUCAAGGCACUGACACACACACACACACACACACACACACACACACACACACACACGAGGAGGUCGUCCCCACCCCUCCCUUCCCCAAGAGGCAACGAAUGGGGUGAACAGAAGGGGCGAAAGGGCGAGACGAAGCACGCUCAUCAGACUCCUUGUCUAGGGCGGUUUCGCACAAACAAAAAAGUACUAGAAACCAAACAAACCCCGGACACAUUCUGUUCACGUCCAUGUGUGUCUGUGUCUGUGCACCAACCCUUUUUCCGAGAACUGCCACGGACUGCCCUUCCCAGAGUCCACUGGUGCCGCGAGACGCACAGACCAACCUGCACCCAAAAUCCUUUACAGUAGAACGGCAUACUCUCCUCGCUCUUUUUUCAAGAGCUAGAAAUAUAGACACAGGCAGAGAGGACGGAGGCCUCACUUCAUGCCAUUUGAUGGUGCAGAGGUGGAGGGAGGAGUAUCUUCACACACAGGCGUUCUGCAUUCACCCCCACACCACUCCCGCCGGACCCUCACCCUUCCCCGUUCUGUCCCCACCUUAUCGUUGACGCAAAUGCGUACUGUGCCCAUCACCCUACUCUUUUAUUUCGUCUUGUGAUUCCUCCUCCCGCUGUUUGCUUUUCUUUGCCCGGCUCUUUCUGAGAGUUGCGCGCGGCGGCCAGUGAAGAGCAGGAGCUGGCCGAAUAUUUCAGAAGCAAAGGUGCGGCGUGACGGCCGUUUUCCUUCUGCGGCCUCUUUGGCGAGGUGCGCACUGCGAGGGAUCCGAAUCUCCUUUGGCCCUCUCCGGGGAUGAAGCACGGGAAACAGACCGCCGCUGCAGCUCGCACGGGAACCCAGUCGGCGAGCUCUGGAGUCUCGGUACUGCAAAGCCUCCAAAAUGAGAAUGACGCCCUUCGAUCAGAGCUGCUGCGGGUGAAGCAGCACAAAGCGCACAUGCAGCGGCAGCUGCAUGACUUGCGCGCGGUGGCGGAGCGGACGGCGCGGGAGGCGGCAAUGUCGGGCAAGGAGCAAGUGCGUGCUCUGGAAGAGCGUUGCCGACUGCUCGCAGAUCGGCUUGUUGGAUCGAAGCGGGAGGAGCAGGUGACCGAGACGGCACGCGUAGGCUUUCUCCUGCGCUCGCAGAUUGAGGAACGUCGGUUCCUGAAGCGCGGAUUGGAGGCGAUGCAAGAGGUUUUGGCCAAUGUGGACGGCAGUGCGGCGUCUGUAUCUAGGAUUGACCACCCCUCCACCAACGCUUCUACUCAUCCAGAGGGCAAGGAGCCGGAAGGGGAAGUGCACACGGGGGACCUGCACCGCUUGAUGAUGACCGUGUCAGGCUCCCUGCACGCCCAUACAGCUUCCGCAAAGCUCGAGAAGGCGCGUAUCCGGCUGACUCUCGAACAGGCUGCCUCGCUUGUAGACGAGCUGCAUGACGCGGUGGAAGAUGCGGCGCGCGCUGCUUUCGACGCUGCAGUUCAGGCCAAUGUUGCGUGCGACGCUGGUACCACAUCCCCGGCUGGUGGUGACGUUUUUCAACUCUCCUCAGUGCUGAUGGUUCCCUGCGGGGCGCCUGCCAGCGCAGUGCAGAACGCCAGCAGCUUCACUCCUGCUCACCGUCGUGGUGGCGGACGCGACGGCUACCUUGCCGGCUCUGCCGACGCCGCCUCGUCUCUUCGCCACCAAGGCGCGGGGGCCUUUCCACUCGCUUACUCGUUGAUGACGCCGCCGUCGUCCGCGCAACUUGGCUUGGAGCUGGAGUGGGUGUGUGACGUGCUGAAGGCUUGCAUGAAGGGUGCAGCGGAGGUGCGCGCGCUCAUCGGCGCCGCUGCAGAGGGUCUCAGGGCGCCGCUGCCGCUGUUACAGCGACGCUGCGACGCGGGCGACCGCUCCUCGACGACCGAGCAAGCACCUCCGCUGGCGUCAGCAGCCAGUCCAGAAAUGAACGCGCUGCUCCGCAGUUUUCUCGAGGAUCUCUGGACUCUCAAGCAACAGGCCGCCCGACAGCAGGAGGACAUGGCGCGACAGCUGGCGCAAGAAGUGGAGCGGCACUUUCAGUCGACGCAGCAGUACGAGCAGCGCGUAAAGCUACUCGAGGCUGAGUGUGCUCGGUUGCUCUUUUACGUGGAGCGGCAGGCGACGCAGAGGCCGGGAGUAGAUGCGACGACGCAGACGUCUUCCCGUCAGAACGCAACAGUGUCCGAGACUCUCAUGCCGGCCUUGGUGCCCGUCCAGGAUACCCCUGUCACGCCAGAGCGCUACGUGGCGAGUCGUGAUGUGGCGAAGCUGUCGGAACGGAGAAGUGCUCGACCUCCACGAAAGCCUCCAGUGGCGACAUCGCGUGUGCUUCUCGCUGGACAGCGCACCCCUCCUCGCGUAAGUAGCCCGUUAAGGCCCAAGGAGACGCAGCAUGCGGCCCUUCUCUCCUCGGCUAGCCACACCAUGGAGGCCAAUGACCCGGCGCGCGCGAACCGCGACACCACGUCGUACUACUUUCAGAAGGGCCUCUCAUUCAGCCAGCCCUCCUCGCCCUCGAAACCGUCGCGCGCCACCGCGCCCAACGCUCCGUCUCCCGCGGCGUCUGCGAUAAGGUCCGCGUAUGGAGAUCAAAAGGUCACGCUGCAACGCCCCGCUUCAGAGGCCCUGCGGUCACCACCGCGACUUCCCUCUCAACUGCUCUCUCCUGCGCCGCCUCUUGUGCACCCAAAGGCCCUCACCAUCACUAGCGCUUCGACUGUCCCUGCACACAGUCUCUCUCCGCGGCGGCGCUCGACGACGGUGUCUAUGCCGUCGCGAUCGCGAGGCACGGCACCGUUUCGUGCCGGCUCCUCGACAGCAACGCGUUCCUCUGCGUCGUUCACAUCCAAAAGACGUUCUCCAGUGCGUCCCGGCAACGUCGCGGACAGCUUGGUGUCGUCGCACCAACGCACGCACACCGCUGCUGCCUCUCUUUCCUCCGCAGAGCCGCGGCCUGCCAUCACGGCUGCUGCCGUGCCGCGAGACUCUACCCCUUCUCCCUCUGGUACCUCCGUCGCCACUCCGCGUCCAGGGCGUGAGACGAGUCGUCACUGCACCCAUUUAUCACAGCAGAUUUACAGCGAGGCGGCCGCCGACGUUUUCUCUUUCCACUCUACUACCUUCGGCGGCGCCCCUUCGGCACUGUCAUCGGUGCGGCACCUUCAGUCAGAGUCUUCGCGGAUGAGCGACGUUGGCAGCACUGCAGAGGUGCAGACGCCGUCUCCUCGACGGCCAGUACGGCUCUCACUCUACCUCAACCGCGCUUCGCCUGGUGAGGCCGCCGUGCUGAGGACUGCACGGCAGCUUCACACCCCACCCUCUCCUGUCUCAGCGGUACUGUCGGGGCACGUCCUUGGAGACGGUAGCACAGUGGGCAUCUCGCGACAGGCAGAGACGCCGAGCACCCCUCCGAUUUGGCGUCGUAUCAAGGAGGAGGCGUCCUUUCAACGCCAACAUCUACCCUCGCCUAUUGCCGGCGGUGACGCCUCCUCCUUGUUCGGCACACCUCACGAAGUGCCGUGGACAAACGCAUGAGGGACUCGAUCUUGAGCCGUCGAAGGUGGGGGAGGGGGUGGGAGGCAGGUGAAGGGGACAGCGCUCUGUAUUUGUGAGAGGGGUAGCUACAGCUGCUACGCGUUCCACUGGAUACUCAAGUAUGACUGAGUUGCCUUUCGAGCACAGGUAGUUGACACUCGUAUGUGUGCGUGUGUGCGCUCUCCGAUGCGACUGUCACCACAUCCACGCUCAUGCGCAGGAACUUUGCGUACAUUCGCAGGUGGCUUCUUCCCUCCGUGCAAGACGCAGCGCACCGGCACUCGUGCACGCUGGCCGGCGUUGGUGUCUCGUGUGACUAUCUCGACCAACACUCACAAUGACAUACACACACACACACACAGACACACACGUACACAGACAGACGCAGACACGUGCAGCAACACGCGUCUGGUCUUUUCCUGGAGUUCAUCGUAAGACCUUGUGCAGAGGUGCCUGGUAGAGGGACGGGACUGCAAUACAGACAUGCAGCGGCUUUCUUCUUUCAGAGUUGUGUUCCUAAGAAGUUGUUUCCACACACUUCUCUCUUUGCGGUUCCCUUCUUCCCUGACACGCGCGACCUCCGAGUUUGCACACACUCUCUGUUGUGAACUUUCUCCAUCGCCUCCUCUCAUAUUUGACUGACACCCUUCGCUGCACACGGAUGGCAUGAACUCAAAUGGCUGCAUCCUUUUCUGUUGUGCGCGCGCACACACACACACACACAUGCGCACACAUCUAUGCGCGUAUACUCCCAUGCGACAG